This 497-nucleotide ribosomal RNA is filed under the name uncultured bacterium. RNAcentral describes it as "partial 16S ribosomal RNA". It matches the Rfam family "Bacterial small subunit ribosomal RNA", at positions 28 to 507 of the family's 1533-position model. The record is from RNAcentral.
GAUGAACGCUGGCGGCGUGCCUAAUACAUGCAAGUCGAGCGAACAGAUGAGGAGCUUGCUCCUCUGACGUUAGCGGCGGACGGGUGAGUAACACGUGGAUAACCUACCUAUAAGACUGGGAUAACUUCGGGAAACCGGAGCUAAUACCGGAUAAUAUAUUGAACCGCAUGGUUGAAUAGUGAAAUACGGUUUUGCUGUCACUUAUAGAUGGAUCCGCGCCGCAUUAGCUAGUUGGUAAGGUAACGGCUUACCAAGGCAACGAUGCGUAGCCGACCUGAGAGGGUGAUCGGCCACACUGGAACUGAGACACGGUCAAGACUACUACGGGAGGCAGCAGUAGGGAAUCUUCCGCAAUGGGCGAAAGCCUGACGGAGCAGCGCCGCGUGAGUGAUGGAGGUCUUCGGAUCGUAAAACCCUGUUAUUAGGGAAGAACAAAUGUGUAAGUAACUAUGCACGUCUUGACGGUACCUAAUCAGAAAGCAACGGCUAACUACGUG